This 518-nucleotide long non-coding RNA is filed under the name Mus spicilegus (steppe mouse). RNAcentral describes it as "lncRNA (ENSMSIG00000012619.1)". Lineage: Eukaryota; Metazoa; Chordata; Mammalia; Rodentia; Muridae. The record is from RNAcentral.
UGAUGCCCUAAAGUCUUAGAUGGACACCCACUGUGGCCAAGACGCUCGCUCGUCAAAGAACACUUUCGACUGAAGCAUACAAAUUUUGUGUGGUGGGGAAGCACCGGGUGCGCCCUCGCUCUGGUGAUCGGCUCCUCCCCUUGGCCAGCUUCCUCUUGCUUUUCUACUGGUGUUUUGGUGGCCACUUCCGUUACUUCAGCCAAUCACAACACACCAACAGUCACUUUCUCCAUCUCGAGUCUACCUUAAAAUUGACUUCAGUGUGAGAAACGAAGUGGAAAUGCAGGUCCAAGGACUUGCACACCCUCCUGCUGUCCCUGAAGUCACUGCACUGAAAUGUGAAGAUCCCUUCAUUAAGCCAUCCUUCCGUAGUUAUGAAGGCCAUGUAAUCGUUUGUUCCUGUCCUCUGUAAAUGUUACACGUACCGCAGUUCUACAUUUGCUCCCAUUUCACUAGACUCUGUUGUUGUAAAACUACUGAAACAUCUACACUGUAUCUGGAGUUUUAAUGACUUCGUC